AAAGAAACCAACCGGGAUUGCCCCAGUAACGGCGAGUGAAGCGGCAAGAGCUCAAAUUUGAAAUCUGGCCCCUCCGGGGUCCGAGUUGUAAUUUGCAGAGGAUGCUUCGGGUGCGGCCCCUGUCUAAGUGCCCUGGAACGGGCCGUCAGAGAGGGUGAGAAUCCCGUCUUGGGCAGGGUGCCCGUGCCCGUGUGAAGCUCCUUCGACGAGUCGAGUUGUUUGGGAAUGCAGCUCUAAAUGGGUGGUAAAUUUCAUCUAAAGCUAAAUACCGGCCGGAGACCGAUAGCGCACAAGUAGAGUGAUCGAAAGAUGAAAAGCACUUUGAAAAGAGAGUUAAACAGCACGUGAAAUUGUUGAAAGGGAAGCGCUUGCGACCAGACUCGGCCCCGGGGUUCAGCCAGCACUCGUGCUGGUGUACUUCCCCGGGGGCGGGCCAGCGUCGGUUUGGGCGGCCGGUCAAAGGCCCCAGGAAUGUGUCGCCCUCCGGGGCGUCUUAUAGCCUGGGGUGCAAUGCGGCCAGCCCGGACCGAGGAACGCGCUUCGGCACGGACGCUGGCGUAAUGGUCGCAAACGACCCGUCUUGAAACACGGACCAAGGAGUCUAACAUCUACGCGAGUGUUCGGGUGUCAAACCCGUACGCGCAGUGAAAGCGAACGGAGGUGGGAGCCCCUCACGGGGCGCACCAUCGACCGAUCCUGAUGUCUUCGGAUGGAUUUGAGUAAGAGCGUAGCUGUGGGGACCCGAAAGAUGGUGAACUAUGCCUGAAUAGGGCGAAGCCAGAGGAAACUCUGGUGGAGGCUCGCAGCGGUUCUGACGUGCAAAUCGAUCGUCAAAUUUGGGUAUAGGGGCGAAAGACUAAUCGAACCAUCUGGUAGCUG
RNAcentral lists this ribosomal RNA (879 nucleotides) under Aspergillus puniceus. Its description in RNAcentral is "LSU rRNA". It matches the Rfam family "Eukaryotic large subunit ribosomal RNA", at positions 58 to 953 of the family's 3401-position model. Lineage: Eukaryota; Fungi; Ascomycota; Eurotiomycetes; Eurotiales; Aspergillaceae. The record is from RNAcentral.